UACGAAGGGGUCUAGCGUUGUUCGGAAUUACUGGGCGUAAAGCGUGCGCAGGCGGUUUUGUAAGUCAGAUGUGAAAUCCCCGGGCUCAACCUGGGAAUGGCAUUUGGGACUGCAAGGCUUGAGUGCGGCAGAGGAGACUGGAAUUCCUGGUGUAGCAGUGAAAUGCGCAGAUAUCGGGAGGAACACCAGUAGCGAAGGCGGCUCGCUGGGCCGUUCCUGACGCUGAGGCGCGAAAGCCAGGGGAGCGAACGGG
This 253-nucleotide ribosomal RNA is filed under the name uncultured bacterium. Its description in RNAcentral is "partial 16S ribosomal RNA". It matches the Rfam family "Bacterial small subunit ribosomal RNA", at positions 524 to 776 of the family's 1533-position model. The record is from RNAcentral.